RNAcentral lists this transfer RNA (67 nucleotides) under Tryonicus parvus. RNAcentral describes it as "tRNA-His". The record is from RNAcentral. Lineage: Eukaryota; Metazoa; Arthropoda; Insecta; Blattodea; Tryonicidae.
AUUUAAGUAGUUUAAGUUUAAAAUAUUGAUUUGUGGUAUCAGUAAUAUAGAUUAUCUAUCUUAGGUU